RNAcentral lists this ribosomal RNA (254 nucleotides) under uncultured bacterium. RNAcentral describes it as "partial 16S ribosomal RNA". It matches the Rfam family "Bacterial small subunit ribosomal RNA", at positions 57 to 305 of the family's 1533-position model. The record is from RNAcentral.
GCAAGUCGUGCGAGAAAGAUUCUUCGGAAUUGAGUAGAGCGGCGAACGGGUGAGUAACACGUAAAUAACCUGCCCUUAAGUCUGGGACAACAUUGCUAACGCGAUGCUAAUACCGGAUGUGAAGAUAAUCUCUCAUGAGAAUUUCUUUAAAGGUCCUUCGGGAUUGCUUAAGGAUGGUUUUGCGGACCAUUAGUUAGUUGGUAGGGUAAUGGCCUACCAAGACGAUGAUGGUUAGCCGACCUGAGAGGGUGAUC